Long non-coding RNA from Herpailurus yagouaroundi (jaguarundi), 563 nucleotides. RefSeq lists it as uncharacterized. The transcript is spliced from 2 exons. The record is from RefSeq and is a predicted model, not a curated record. Lineage: Eukaryota; Metazoa; Chordata; Mammalia; Carnivora; Felidae.
AUGGGGGGCUCGAACCAACGAACAGGGAGAUCAUGACCUGAGCCAAAAGCAAGAGUGGGACGCUUAACCGACUGAGCCACCUAGGCACCACCAUCAGGAAAUGAUGUUUUAAGGUUUGGGAACCACUAGCCUCUUCAAGCUUUUCAAAUCCCAACAUCUCUGAGCUCUUUCUUUGAAGAAUCUUUUGUGUUUCUCCAUUGGAGAACCCGGCCAAGACUUUGUGAGCUGAUUUAUUUUUCUUGAAAUAAUUCACCCAAUGAAGUCAAUAGCAACAAACUCAUGACGCAUAUUUUGCUUCCCAAUUCCUUCCCUUAAUGGUACAUGUUCAUUAAGUACAUAGUCUAUCUCCAAGUUAUUGCAAAUGACAUGAAUAAUAAUGGUUUUGCCACUGCAUGACAUGCAUUUUUACCUUUUUUUUCCCCUCAACAGUUAUCCUAUCACAUAUCCCCUAACCAAAUACUUAACAUUUUUCCUUUUUUUGUUACUCCUUUUUUCUAAUACUAUGUUUUAAGUUUGUCAGAGUGUGUUGGAUUCUACUGCAACAAUAAAAAUUCAAAAUUUCA